RNAcentral lists this non-coding RNA (29 nucleotides) under Homo sapiens (human). The record is from RNAcentral. Lineage: Eukaryota; Metazoa; Chordata; Mammalia; Primates; Hominidae.
UCUCAUGCUUUCCCUGGGUCUUCACGGAU